Molecule: small nucleolar RNA, 69 nt
Organism: Dromiciops gliroides (monito del monte)
Lineage: Eukaryota; Metazoa; Chordata; Mammalia; Microbiotheria; Microbiotheriidae
Product: small nucleolar RNA SNORD2
Exons: 1
Source: RefSeq, a predicted model, not a curated record
CUGUGACGUGAUGGCCUACCAUCUUUCGGGACUGACCCGCCAUGGAGAGAGCAGUGCUGCUGAUCACAG